UACAGAGGUCUCAAGCGUUGUUCGGAUUCAUUGGGCGUAAAGGGUGCGUAGGCGGCGCGGUAAGUCCUGCGUGAAAUCCUGCGGCUCAACCGCAGACGGUCGUGGGAAACUGGAAGGCUAGAGUGCGGGAGAGGAGAGUGGAAUUCCCGGUGUAGCGGUGAAAUGCGCAGAUAUCGGGAAGAACACCCGUGGCGAAGGCGAUCGCCUGGCUCAAUACUGACGCUGAGGCGCGAGAGCGUGGGGAGCAAACAGG
This 253-nucleotide ribosomal RNA is filed under the name uncultured bacterium. Its description in RNAcentral is "partial 16S ribosomal RNA". It matches the Rfam family "Bacterial small subunit ribosomal RNA", at positions 524 to 776 of the family's 1533-position model. The record is from RNAcentral.